GCAACUCGACUGCACGAAGCUGGAAUCGCUAGUAAUCGCGGAUCAGCACGCCGCGGUGAAUACGUUCCCGGGCCUUGUACACACCGCCCGUCACACCAUGGAAGUCUGCAAUGCCCGAAGCCGGUGGCCUAACCACUUAUGUGGAAGGAGCCGUCUAAGGCAGGGCAGAUGACUGGGGUGAAGUCGUAACAAGGUACC
Molecule: ribosomal RNA, 198 nt
Filed under: uncultured bacterium
Lineage: Bacteria
Description: partial 16S ribosomal RNA
Rfam family: Bacterial small subunit ribosomal RNA
Source: RNAcentral